CAGGAAGGCAAAGGAAGAAGUCUCCUUUAUCUCCAUCCUAAUGCCAUUUAGAAAGAGGCUGUAAUGAAUCCUGGAGUACAAAUGUGCUGUUUCCUCUGUGGAAGUUUCUGAGUUCGUACUGAUGUCUUGUGGAAUGGAGGGCUCCCAUACUUCAUUCUGUCUUCAGGAAACUCCUGCAUCUACAGAUAAAGGUAGCAUUCCUUCUCUAUAGCUGCUUGCUGAAUCUCUGCUGGAGAGAACUGCCACAGGAGCCCAGCUCCUACUGGCAGAUGAAUCUUCCUGCACUGGCCUUUGCCACGUUGAAAGCUUGUUUCUUUGUCUCUGCAGGCAUGUACAUGUGCUGGGAUAUGAUACAACAGCUGUUUUUGAGGGGACAGAUCUACCCUAUCUGUGGAAACCAAGGAAGGAUUGGUGUAUAUGGAUUAUGGCCAGGAAAGAAACAGGAUCCAGAACUGGUGUUUUAGAAGACAUAUAGAAGGACAAGCAUAUGGAUAAAUGCCACAGAAAUAUCUUCAAAAUAAUCCAGAAGCAAAACUCUUAUUGAAAAUGGGAGAUGUUAAGUACUGAUAACCUGUCCACAGUGAAUAGAAGAUGACCAGGAGUGGAAGAUCUCCCCGACUUUGAGUUCUCCUCCCAUCACCAGGAUGCUGCUGACCUGCUCUCUGCUCUGCACUCAACUCAGUGGUGGGACUUCCAGAGGCUGCCUUCACCAUUUCCUUCAAUUAUGUUCUCCAUAAAGCCCUACCUCAGCUCUCCCAGAGUCUCAGCUAUUCAAGUUACUCCAGGGGAACCUAUAACACAGAUGUAUGGGAAUUGUUGAAUCACGGCCUGAACCUCUGAUUGACCACCUGAGCUGCUGAGGAUCUGGAUCCAGAAACGGAAGGGAAAAAGAAAUAGCUGAAGGAAAACAGUUUUCUUUUGAGAGCGUUCAGCAGAUUUUGCCACAAGUAAAACCAUCAGGAUGUGAGCUGAAACCUGUGUCAGUGUCCACAGUGUUUGAAUAGUCUGGUUUUAAUAGAAACAUGAAAACGCCAUAUGGAGCCAGACAACCAUUUCCUUCCUUCAGUGUGUUUGUCCAUGUUUAAGUGGAGCACAGCAACAUUUCUGUGACUUGCUUCUUGUUGGUGCAUUGGAGAGUUGAAGAAAUGGAGUAGCCUGGAUUGGUCCUUGAUAUGCAAUCACUUCAUGGAGUACUGUACACAGGACUAUGCACCAUUAGCCAAGCCUCCCAGUCAGCCAAAUGUGUGCCAGGGAAGGAAUUACGUCUUUUCAUUAGGAGGGUAACAGUAUGAAGGCAUUACAGGACACAGCGUUGAGUGCCACCAGUCUUGGAAUUGAACAGUGUGACAAAUGGUACAGCUGGGGACCAGACAUUCAGAGCAAUGCUUUCUUUCCAUCCUGGGAAACUACAGAUAUUUGCUUUGUUCCAGGUAUAUAUUGGACAUUUCUGAAUUUUAAGCACUGAACCAUUACUUAUUAGUUUAUCUUCCAAUCCUCUGUUUCAUGUCACAUAUCUGCUACAGGGAAUGUCAUUGAAAAGCUUAGACGCACUAUUCUGACUUAAAUUCCUGUUCUCUGGAGAGCAAGAUGUUGGUUUAUGAGCAGGAAUUGAGCAAUCCAACUGCAUGAUGCUUGUAUUGCCAUAUUAAAUUGAAAGCAAGGAGCUGUAAGUAGGGCUGACAUUUCUGUCUGUCAGCCACACACAACAGAUAUGAACUGAGAGCAAACUGAAGGGAGGCAGAAAAGGGUGAAAAGGGCACCCUCCCAAAGCAGAAGGAAGCCAGAUGGAGUGACACCACAGAUAGAAAGAGAUUCAGUGUAUGGGACUGUGCAGUGGCUGUGUAGAAGGAAACAGAAAACGGAAGGAUCUGAGUAUGGAUGGAAAUGAGGAGAAAGAAAACAUAAUGAAGAGUAAUGGACAAGACAAAAAGAAAGAUUAUGCCUGAUACCAUGGAAGAGAUAUCCUGCUGUUGACAUCUGCUCAGCUCAGGAGGAGUCUCCCUCAGAAAGAUGUUGAAAUACUCUCAUUCAACACAUUUAAAAAUAGACUAAACAAACCCCAGUGAGCCAGACUCUCCUCCUCGUACACACACAGGGCCAUAACUCAUGCCUGCAGUUGUCCUUUGAAGCCUGGGAACCCUUGUAGAAUGAGAGGGGCUGAGCUGGAUGCAAGGCAGAAAUCUGGUCCUGGGUCCUGCACUGUCACAGACAUGGAUCAGAUGAAUGAUUGUCUCUUUUCAGGUCAGAAACGCCACACCGACACAUGGCUUCCUGCAAAGACAUGAACUCAAGGAAGGGACUUAAAGUACAGCAUGUGUCAAAGGGCUUUGCAGAAGCUGCAGGAGGGCUCCAUACAGCAAAACAGAGGAGCACUCACUUCCAUUCAAUCUCGGCAGAGCCCUGAUAAAUGCAUAAACAAACUUUUUUCCUUCUUACACAGUUCUGAGUGAUGACAGUAUCUCUACGAUCUUCAAGAGGAAGUAAUCAUUUGCUGAUAAACAUCUCCUCUCCAAAUGUACCUAGUAAAAAGACACAUUCUUUUGUAUAUAUUUAAUUACAGGAGAACAGAUUUUGUCCAAAUAAUUAGGUAAUUUAAACUAUGCAGUCUUUCCCAAAGAACUAUAUUUAACCUUCAUUUGAAUUUAAUUUCCACAUCACAGUGCCCCUUAAGCGGUUCUGUAAGUCAAAACAGUGAUCAAAUAUUUUUUAAAUGUCAAAUGUUGCUUAAUUGUGGAUAGCACUGAAUUUGUUUUAAGAGAUAACAGCUUUUGAUCUGCUGCUAUUUUUUGUCUGUCCUAUUGUCAUGUUUCUCUUCAUCAGAAGUUUCUGUCAACUGUUUAAUCCAUACAACACCCGACUUUCCAGACAGCUGAAGAUUUCAAAGAAGAAAUGUGGGGAACCCUUCAAAAGUUUCAUGAAGUAUUAAACAGGAUGUGGAUUAGUGUCUUGCUACUACAGACCCCAGCACUUGCAAGAGGAGGAAAAAAAAGCGUUUUUAAAAUUCAAGUAUUAUUAAGGGAUUAUAAUGUUUUUGCCUGAAUUAAGGGUAGUGCUGUAAAGAAUAAUUUUACAGCAUUAAUAUAAAUCAGCAGAACUUUAUUGGCUUUAAUACACCUAUUCUGAUUUGCACCACUCAUGAUCAGGCUCCUUAUAUCUAAAUGUAUCUUUUGCUCCAUGGAAGUAGAUCAUUUUUCUCCUAACUUGCUCUUUCCUAUUGUCUUGCCCCUGUAAAUUAUAUAUAUUAGGUUCAUAAGCAGUGUAGUGAAAGUAAACAGGAAGAGAGUCUCACAGUUUGAAUGAAUUAUAACAAAAACUACAGUAGGUCUGACCUACAUUAAGCUAGUUCAGUAGAACAAUCUACACACAAAGUGGCUUGUAUUUCAGGGUUGGCUCUAAGGUUGAUUCUCAGUUAAAAAAAAAAAAAAAAAAGAAUGAUUCCAAAGAAUCACAAGUCUUAUCAGUCUCUUUGAAACAAACAAAAGCCAACAUACACUCCACAGCUCAGUUGUAAAAACAAUAGAGCAGGAAGACUUUCCUGUAACAGCAUCUCCCACUGGGCGAUAGCAGUUGAAAGUACUUACUAUGAUUAUGAUUAAUUUCAUUAGUGCUCAGUUCACUUUAAUACUUUUCUCCCUCUAUCUCUGAAUGCAGAUAAUUUUUCCCUGCAAGUAAAUCCAGGGUGACAGUUUAAUAGGCUCAGACAUGCUUAGAUCCGAAAUGAGACUGUAAUAUUAAUAUACUAUUGACCAGUUAUAGAUUAAGCAAACUGAGGGCACACUUAAGUAAAUGACUUCAGAGGGACAAGUUAAUGUGCUAAGUGGUUCACAGGCAAUGAUUAAAAAUAUUCUUCAUUUACUUGGAAAUUAAUAGGUUUCUUUAAUUAAUCUAAUAAAGCCACCCUGUGGUAUGUUACAUAUUUGGUGUAUGUUUUAAAAGAAGAUGCUGAGUUGCUGGAUCUGGAAAUCCCUGUUCUGCUUACUGAAGAAAGGAAGCAGUCAUAUAUAAAAGCAGCCUUGCACAUGGCUAGAAUUUCCAACAAGCCAUCUUCUUUGCCACAAGUAGGAUUACAUUGCAUGACGGGUGUUAUGAAUCUCAAUGUUAAGCAAUCAACAGCACCAGCAAUUCCAUGUGUGAAUUGCAGAAUCAUCCAAGUAUCUUCAGGGAUUGUUAGUGUAUUUCACAACUGCAUCCAGUCAAAUGAGCACUUUUCUCCUCCAACAGUCUUUCAAAUCCAACUGGUCAACCAAUUGAAAGAAAACAACACAAUCUUUGCAACAACAGCAAUUUAUAUGCCGAGAAGUGCUAAAGCCUUGCAAAGGAUUAUGGGGUAAGGAAAUGAUGAAAUCAUCUACAGGCAUUGCAUGAGUUUUAUUUAAUCAGAAGGUGCUCAGGUAGUACGGUUAUCUGAAAUAUAAAUAGCCCAUCACCACCAGCUUUAUAAUGGAGAGAUGAGUUUAAAAGAUAGUGUCUCAUUAAUAGUCUUUCUGUGGUUUGCCUUGCAAGGGCACUGAGAGGCCUUUCCUGCUGAACAUUGUACAUAUAUCGGGAUGGGAUCACACUGGCUCCCAGAGCCAGGGAUAAGAAGAGAUGUUUACCCAGCCCAACCGGAGUUCCUCCAGUGGACAGUGACACAAUUUGCAGAGUUAAGACAGGUCUACUCAACUGAGAGACUUCAUCAAAUCCCACUGUGAUUAUUUCUUCGGCAAAUCAAAAAGAGGCCUUGGUUAUUGUUCUGCCUCUUUGACCAGCAUCCUGUCAUGUGAUCACUCCCACUCUAAUGAAGUUUGAUCUGAGAGGGCUGCUACUGUGCUAUUCUGAAAAUCAGAAGCACUUUGAUAUGACCACUUCAAGGCCCAAAGAAACUACAAAAUGGGGACUAAAGUUUCCAUCUUCUCCAUCACCCCAUUUUUUUUCACCUUGCCCUAAUUACUGCAAAUAGGAUUCUUUCUCUUUGGUUUUACCAGAAGUUUUCUCAUCCAUAUAGUCCAACAGGAGAUGCUACUCUUGCUUCUCUUACCUAUUCCACAGCAAACCACAUGAACUAGACAUAGGGACUGUUUUCCCAGAACUCACUGGGGGGAAUCAUUACCAAAAAUGUCAGACUAUCACGUUUCUACUUCCCUGGCAGAAACUACUCUGUAUUUAGUGACCUGGCAGCCAUGAGGAGUGUCUGAUGGAGUACAGUACACAGUAGCUAUAAGAGUCAAAGAAGAGGAGGAGAAAAGGAUGUUUGACUUGGGACUCCAUGUUAAAAGCUCCUGCAGAACCAGUCCUUAGCUAUUGUUUACAGCUGGCUGUCUUGCCUCAGGAACAUUUGCAUUGAAAAACUUUCAAAGUUUUCUUUCCAAGUAAGCUGAGAAAAACAACUUGGAUUCAUUCCAUUUAUCAUGGAUGUGGAUGUAUGUGUGUGUGUUUUCAUGGUAGGUGGGAAAGGGAGGAGAUGGAAAUCCUUUCAACUUGCUGACACAUUCUCCAGUGGAUGGAAGUGGUGCUUGAAAUCCAUGGAGCCAGGUUGGGUUCCAACUGCCAAGAACCUGGUCUAGGCAGCUAUAAUGUUGUGCAGAGCUGUGGUUUGAAGAAACCUGAACAUGGCCAUACAGACAGAAAAGAUGAAAGAGGGAUUUGGUAGCCAGUCCUGUUUCUUUCAUGUGUGAAGGACAGCUGUGCAGCUGCAAGGAGUGAUGCUGGCAAACUCAUCGGAUAUGUACAUUUUCUCUCUUUUGUGGGUUGGAUCAUAACAAUUAACUUCUCUGAAUGUUUGUGGUGAGUCUAAUCUCAGGCGUGUCUGCUCCUUUGCAUUUGCAGCUGAGGGUGGCAAAUAAAAUGGCUAAGCAUUGCUGUGGGCUAUUUUGUCACCAAGCCUGGAAUGAGGCAUCCUGCGAGAGACCUGGAAAAACCAUGCUUCUGAAGUAGACCACAGGUAGACAGGGCUUGCUGCAGGCAAGCUUUGUGAAUUUGUCUUCCCUCUUGGAGAAAGAAGAAGAAAAAAGAGAAAAAACAGAGUAUCUUGUUUCCUUCAUGCCUGAAAUAAGCUGAAACGGGGAGCUUUGCAUUCCUGUGUUUACAAAUGUAGAGGUGAAAAGAGAUUUCAUUAAUGUCAGCUUGGUAGUGAUUCUUUAAGUCUUUUACCUCAAAUGGUCACCUCCUGGAUGCAUUGGGGGUGCGAGGCAUCACUUAAUUGCAGGAGACAUGGAAGUCCAUAAAUCAAUGGCAUGCAAAGGAUAGAUGAAGGGG
This is a long non-coding RNA of Gallus gallus (chicken), 6234 nucleotides long. RefSeq lists it as uncharacterized. Lineage: Eukaryota; Metazoa; Chordata; Aves; Galliformes; Phasianidae. The transcript is spliced from 12 exons. The record is from RefSeq and is a predicted model, not a curated record.